GACGAACGCUGGCGGCGUGCCUAAUACAUGCAAGUCGAACGGUCUUUUCUAUGGAAGCUUGCUUCCACUGAGAAGAUAGUGGCGAACGGGUGAGUAACACGUGGGUAACCUGCCCAUAAGAGGGGGAUAACAUCCGGAAACGGGUGCUAAUACCGCAUAGUUUUCUUGAUCGCAUGAUUGAGAAAGGAAAGACGGCCUUUGUGCUGUCGCUUAUGGAUGGACCCGCGGCGUAUUAGUUAGUUGGUGAGGUAACGGCUCACCAAGACGAUGAUACGUAGCCGACCUGAGAGGGUGAUCGGCCACAUUGGGACUGAGACACGGCCCAAACUCCUACGGGAGGCAGCAGUAGGGAAUCUUCCGCAAUGGACGAAAGUCUGACGGAGCAACGCCGCGUGAGUGAAGAAGGUUUUCGGAUCGUAAAACUCUGUUGUCAGAGAAGAACAAGUUGGAGAGUAACUGCUCCAGCCUUGACGGUAUCUGACCAGAAAGCCACGGCUAACUACGUGCCAGCAGCCGCGGUAAUACGUAGGUGGCAAGCGUUGUCCGGAUUUAUUGGGCGUAAAGCGAGCGCAGGCGGUUCCUUAAGUCUGAUGUGAAAGCCCACGGCUCAACCGUGGAAGGUCAUUGGAAACUGGGGAACUUGAGUGCAGAAGAGGAGAGUGGAAUUC
This 668-nucleotide ribosomal RNA is filed under the name uncultured Bacillota bacterium. RNAcentral describes it as "bacterial SSU rRNA". It matches the Rfam family "Bacterial small subunit ribosomal RNA", at positions 28 to 669 of the family's 1533-position model. The record is from RNAcentral. Lineage: Bacteria; Bacillati; Bacillota.